RNAcentral lists this non-coding RNA (47 nucleotides) under Schistosoma mansoni. Lineage: Eukaryota; Metazoa; Platyhelminthes; Trematoda; Strigeidida; Schistosomatidae. The record is from RNAcentral.
AUCUAGCUGACGAGUCCAAAUAGGACGAAGUAUCGCGCAUCCUGGAU